AAAUUAAGAAGAAGAAACGAAAAAAGGAUCACCGGCAUUAUCGUUGUUGACUUUCUUUCCAAUCCUUUCAUCGUUUCUUCUUCUUUAUUUCCAUCUCAGUAAU
This 103-nucleotide non-coding RNA is filed under the name Synedropsis cf. recta. Lineage: Eukaryota; Bacillariophyta; Fragilariophyceae; Fragilariales; Fragilariaceae. The record is from RNAcentral.